AUACGGAGUAUAAAGAAAAAAGUGUUCCCUUUAGAAGAAUGAGAAAAUCGAGCACAAAGUAAAUUUAAAGGAUUUUGGAGCUUUUUCAUGGUGCGCCUCCAUUGAAGCUUAAUUGUGAGCUUCUUUCCACCAUUGAUGAAGCUUCCGAGUUAUAAGUAUGUAAUUUGCUGUUCCUUCCAUGUCAAAUGGUGAAGAAGAUGCUGAUGAUGAAACUGAUGAAGAGCGUCUUCAAACUAUAAGCAUUCUUAGCAAUUGCGUCAACAAUUCACCAAAACAUUAAGCUUUUAGGAUUUCCUUCUGUGCUCCUCCUGAAGAGGAGGCUGUUGUAUACGGCUGAUUUCUUGGGUUGCAUCAUCUGCUUGAAUCCUGUCUAAGUUGCCCUGGCUCUUGUGAGUUCUUGGUGUAUCCCAUUACAAUUCCCUAAGAUAUGGUAAACAGAGCAUCCCACAGCUUUUGGAGUUAUAAUGCUACAACAAAAGAGACAAGUAUAAUUUCCAGUAUGUGGUGGAGGAAAGAGUAGAGUAUAACUUGUCAAGUGUGAAAAUAUUUGUCGGAUAAAGGACAAGGGAGUUGUAACCAUGUGACAAAUGCGAUAGAGGGUUUCAUAUAGGAUGUGUUUGACCCAUCAUUGUUUGUAUCUCCAUGGCCAUUUAUUAGCAGAUUGAGGAAGAUGGAGGCUGCAGGGUUCUGAAAAUUUAUCAUGGAAUGCAAUAGUUUGUCACCUAAGAUGCAGCACUUUUCAGCAUCUUUUAAUUCAACUCAAAAGGAUUUCUUCAUGGGAUUGCGAAGAUUUUGGCAAAGGCAUUGACGAUGGUGAAAAGAUAAGACUAUUUUUAUGUCAAAUGUGAGGAAUGUGGCUCAGGUGAAGAAAAGCAGUUGCAACCGUGUGUUAAGUGCAAUAAAGGUUAUUUUUAUGUCAAAUGCGAGAAAUGUGGUUCAGGCUAAGAAAGGGAGUUGUAGUCUUAUUUUUAUGUCAAAUGCGAGAAAUGUAGUUCAGGCGAAGAAAGGGAGUUGUAACCUUAGGCGAAGAAAGAGAGUUGUAACCUUAUUUUUAUGUCAAAUGCGAGAAAUGCGGGUUGGGCGAAGAAAGGGAGUUGUAACCUUAUUUUUAUGUCAAAUGUGAAGAAUGUGGGUCAGGCGAAGAAAGGGAGCCGUAAUCGUAUGAUAAGUGCAAUAAAAGGGUUUCGAGCUGUGUUAAAGAAUUAUUUUCUGUCAAGUGUGAAGAAUGCGGGUCGGGUGAAGUAGGGGAGUUGUAACCAUGUGAUAAGUGCAAUAAAGGGUUUCAUAUAAGUUGUGUUUGACCAA
Long non-coding RNA from Chenopodium quinoa (quinoa), 1305 nucleotides. RefSeq lists it as uncharacterized. Lineage: Eukaryota; Viridiplantae; Streptophyta; Magnoliopsida; Caryophyllales; Amaranthaceae. The transcript has 3 exons. The record is from RefSeq and is a predicted model, not a curated record.